GUGACCUGCGGAAGGACAUUAUCGAGUUUUGAACGGGUUGUCUGCUGGCUCGCAAGGGCAUGUGCACGCCUGUCUCAUCCACUCUCAACUUCUGUGCACUUUUCAUAGGCCGGCUUGUGGGUGCGUUCGCGCACUUGUAGGUGUCGGGCUUAUGCUUUACUACAAACGAUUCAGUUUUAGAAUGUCAUACUUUGCUAUAACGCAAUUUAUAUACAACUUUCAGCAACGGAUCUCUUGGCUCUCGCAUCGAUGAAGAACGCAGCGAAAUGCGAUAAGUAAUGUGAAUUGCAGAAUUCAGUGAAUCAUCGAAUCUUUGAACGCACCUUGCGCUCCUUGGUAUUCCGAGGAGCAUGCCUGUUUGAGUCUCAUGGAAUUCUCAACCUUCGGCUUUAUUGACGAAGGCUUGGACUUGGAGGUCGUGCCGGCUCUCGUAGUCGGCUCCUCUGAAAUGCAUUAGUGCGAACGUUACCAGCCGCUUCAGCGUGAUAAUUAUCUGCGUUGCUGUGGAGGGUAUUCUAGUGUUCGCGCUUCUAACCGUCUUCGGACAAAUUUCUGAACUCUGAGCUCAAAUCAGGUAGGACUACCCGCUGAACUUAAGCAUAUCAAUAAGCGGAGGAAAAGAAACUAACAAGGAUUCCCCUAGUAACUGCGAGUGAAGCGGGAAAAGCUCAAAUUUAAAAUCUGGCGGUCUUCGGCCGUCCGAGUUGUAAUCUGGA
This 716-nucleotide small RNA is filed under the name Bjerkandera adusta. RNAcentral's name for it is "eukaryotic LSU rRNA". The stretch from base 215 to 368 matches the Rfam family "5.8S ribosomal RNA". Lineage: Eukaryota; Fungi; Basidiomycota; Agaricomycetes; Polyporales; Phanerochaetaceae. The record is from RNAcentral.